UACGAAGGGUGCAAACGUUGUUCGGAAUUAUUGGGCGUAAAGCGCGCGUAGGCGGCUUUGCAAGUCGGGUGUGAAAUCCCUCGGCUUAACCGGGGAACUGCGUCUGAUACUGGAUGGCUUGAGUUCGGGAGAGGGAUGCGGAAUUCCAGGUGUAGCGGUGAAAUGCGUAGAUAUCUGGAGGAACACCGGUGGCGAAGGCGGCAUCCUGGACCGACACUGACGCUGAGGAGCGAAAGCCAGGGGAGCAAACGGG
This 253-nucleotide ribosomal RNA is filed under the name uncultured bacterium. RNAcentral's name for it is "partial 16S ribosomal RNA". It matches the Rfam family "Bacterial small subunit ribosomal RNA", at positions 524 to 776 of the family's 1533-position model. The record is from RNAcentral.